Molecule: ribosomal RNA, 253 nt
Filed under: uncultured bacterium
Lineage: Bacteria
Description: partial 16S ribosomal RNA
Rfam family: Bacterial small subunit ribosomal RNA
Source: RNAcentral
UACAGAGAGUGCAAACGUUGUUCGGAAUUACUGGGCUUAAAGCGCACGUAGGCUGUGUCGUAAGUGUCAGGUGAAAUCCCACGGCUCACCCGUGGAACUGCUUGGCAUACUGCGAUACUCGAGUGUGGUAGGGGAGAGCGGAACUCCUGGUGGAGCGGUGAAAUGCGUAGAUAUCAGGAGGAACACCGGUGGCGAAGGCGGCUCUCUGGUCCACAACUGACGCUGAGGUGCGAAAGCUAGGGGAGCAAACGGG